Mauremys mutica (yellowpond turtle) is the source of this 259-nucleotide long non-coding RNA. RefSeq lists it as uncharacterized. The record is from RefSeq and is a predicted model, not a curated record. Lineage: Eukaryota; Metazoa; Chordata; Testudines; Geoemydidae. The transcript has 3 exons.
GGGACACACACAGAGAAAGGGUUGUUUAUGCCAUGGCAGCAUGGGGAGAAGUGUAGAAACUGAAAUACUGCAGCAAUUUGAAGAAGCGAGAGCAAAGGAAGGACAGGGGACUCAUUGCAAAACCUUCCUAGGAUGUGCAGAGACUGGCACUCUUCCAUCAAUCCUAUUUGUUUGGGUGGCAUUGAUACAGUGGAUCAGACUCCAAGAGUAUGGAAGUUAAGCUGACUGGACUAUAAUUCCCUGGGUUGUCCAUAUUCCC